RNAcentral lists this ribosomal RNA (253 nucleotides) under uncultured bacterium. Its description in RNAcentral is "partial 16S ribosomal RNA". It matches the Rfam family "Bacterial small subunit ribosomal RNA", at positions 524 to 776 of the family's 1533-position model. The record is from RNAcentral.
GACAGAGGGUGCAAACGUUGUUCGGAAUUACUGGGCGUAAAGCGCACGUAGUCGGCUUUGCAAGUCGGUUGUGAAAUCCCCGGGCUCAACCUGGGAACUGCAUCCGAGACUGCAUUGCUAGAGUAUGGGAGAGGAAAGCGGAAUUUCUGGUGUAGCAGUGAAAUGCGUAGAUAUCAGAAGGAACAUCAGUGGCGAAGGCGGCUUUCUGGACCAAUACUGACGAUCAGGUGCGAAAGCGUGGGGAGCAAACAGG